RNAcentral lists this long non-coding RNA (355 nucleotides) under Helianthus annuus (common sunflower). Its description in RNAcentral is "hypothetical non coding rna". The record is from RNAcentral. Lineage: Eukaryota; Viridiplantae; Streptophyta; Magnoliopsida; Asterales; Asteraceae.
GUAACAUAUAUAUAUAUUUUUACUGAAAUAUUGUGUUUUUCGAUGAUGAAAUAUAGCAGACGGGCGGUCUGAAAUGAUGCCAUGUUGAUUGGCUAUCCAAGCCGCUUGAUGAUCGAGGAUUGCUUGACAAUCGCUUGAAAAAUGUUUGUUUGAUUCCCGCUUGGUUUGUAAACGAGCUGCUUGGCUUGGUUCGAUUUGAAAACGAUCCAAGCAUACCUGUAGAGGGAACCAUUUAUUCUCGAUCGUGGGAUCACUCCAUUAGAAGAUGGGAUGUGGAGACAGGAAAAGACACAAUAAACAUGGUACUUUGUGUCGUCAAUGUUUAUUUAAUCUUUUCAAAUCGAUUGUUUGAGUG